GAACGCCGGCGGCGUGCCUAAUACAUGCAAGUAGAACGCUGAAGGAGGAGCUUGCUCUUCUGGAAGAGUUGCGAACGGGUGAGUAACGCGUAGGUAACCUGCCUGGUAGCGGGGGAUAACUAUUGGAAACGAUAGCUAAUACCGCAUAAGAUUGAAUAUCGCAUGAUAAUUGAUUAAAAGAUGCAAAUGCAUCACUACCAGAUGGACCUGCGUUGUAUUAGCUAGUAGGUGAGGUAACGGCUCACCUAGGCGACGAUACAUAGCCGACCUGAGCGGGUGAUCGGCCACACUGGGACUGAGACACGGCCCAGACUCCUACGGGAGGCAGCAGUAGGGAAUCUUCGGCAAUGGGGGCAACCCUGACCGAGCAACGCCGCGUGAGUGAAGAAGGUUUUCGGAUCGUAAAGCUCUGUUGUAAGAGAAGAACGAGUGUGAGAGUGGAAAGUUCACACUGUGACGGUAUCUUACCAGAAAGGGACGGCUAACUACGUGCCAGCAGCCGCGGUAAUACGUAGGUCCCGAGCGUUGUCCGGAUUUAUUGGGCGUAAAGCGAGCGCAGGCGGUUAGAUAAGUCUGAAGUUAAAGGCUGUGGCUUAACCAUAGUACGCUUUGGAAACUGUUUAACUUGAGUGCAGAAGGGGAGAGUGGAAUUCCAUGUGUAGCGGUGAAAUGCGUAGAUAUAUGGAGGAACACCGGUGGCGAAAGCGGCUCUCUGGUCUGUAACUGACGCUGAGGCUCGAAAGCGUGGGGAGCGAACAGGAUUAGAUACCCUGGUAGUCCACGCCGUAAACGAUGAGUGCUAGGUGUUAGGCCCUUUCUCGGGGCUUAGUGCCGUAGCUAACGCAUUAAGCACUCC
RNAcentral lists this ribosomal RNA (856 nucleotides) under uncultured Streptococcus sp. RNAcentral describes it as "bacterial SSU rRNA". It matches the Rfam family "Bacterial small subunit ribosomal RNA", at positions 31 to 870 of the family's 1533-position model. The record is from RNAcentral. Lineage: Bacteria; Bacillati; Bacillota; Bacilli; Lactobacillales; Streptococcaceae.